Molecule: ribosomal RNA, 119 nt
Filed under: Pteropus alecto (black flying fox)
Lineage: Eukaryota; Metazoa; Chordata; Mammalia; Chiroptera; Pteropodidae
Source: RNAcentral
GUCUAUGGCUGUGCCGCCCUGAACAUGCCUGAUCCCAUCUGAUCUUGGAAACUAAGCAGGGUCGGGCCUGGUUAGUACUUGGAUGGGAGACCACCUAGGAAGACCAGGAGCUAUAGGCA